AGUGAACGCUGGCGGUAGGCCUAACACAUGCAAGUCGAACGGCAGCACAGUAAGAGCUUGCUCUUACGGGUGGCGAGUGGCGGACGGGUGAGGAAUACAUCGGAAUCUACUUUUUCGUGGGGGAUAACGUAGGGAAACUUACGCUAAUACCGCAUACGACCUACGGGUGAAAGCAGGGGAUCUUCGGACCUUGCGCGAUUGAAUGAGCCGAUGUCGGAUUAGCUAGUUGGCGGGGUAAAGGCCCACCAAGGCGACGAUCCGUAGCUGGUCUGAGAGGAUGAUCAGCCACACUGGAACUGAGACACGGUCCAGACACCUACGGGAGGCAGAAGUGGGGAAUAUUGGACAAUGGGCGAAAGCCUGAUCCAGCCAUACCGCGUGGGUGAAGAAGGCCUUCGGGUUGUAAAGCCCUUUUGUUGGGAAAGAAAAGCAGCAGGUUAAUACCCCGCUGUUCGGACGGUACCCAAAGAAUAAGCACCGGCUAACUUCGU
RNAcentral lists this ribosomal RNA (491 nucleotides) under uncultured bacterium. RNAcentral describes it as "partial 16S ribosomal RNA". It matches the Rfam family "Bacterial small subunit ribosomal RNA", at positions 29 to 506 of the family's 1533-position model. The record is from RNAcentral.